This 429-nucleotide ribosomal RNA is filed under the name Chloroflexota bacterium. RNAcentral's name for it is "Chloroflexi bacterium partial 16S ribosomal RNA". It matches the Rfam family "Bacterial small subunit ribosomal RNA", at positions 355 to 776 of the family's 1533-position model. The record is from RNAcentral. Lineage: Bacteria; Bacillati; Chloroflexota.
UGGGGAAUAUUGCACAAUGGGCGCAAGCCUGAUGCAGCCAUGCCGCGUGUGUGAAGAAGGCCUUCGGGUUGUAAAGCACUUUCAGCGGGGAGGAAGGCGUUAAGGUUAAUACCUUUGCUCAUUGACGUUACCCGCAGAAGAAGCACCGGCUAACUCCGUGCCAGCAGCCGCGGUAAUACGGAGGGUGCAAGCGUUAAUCGGAAUUACUGGGCGUAAAGCGCACGCAGGCGGUUUGUUAAGUCAGAUGUGAAAUCCUCGGGCUCAACCUGGGAACUGCAUCUGAUACUGGCAAGCUUGAGUCUCGUAGAGGGGGGUAGAAUUCCAGGUGUAGCGGUGAAAUGCGUAGAGAUCUGGAGGAAUACCGGUGGCGAAGGCGGCCCCCUGGACGAAGACUGACGCUCAGGUGCGAAAGCGUGGGGAGCAAACAGG